GUGAAGACACUUCAGCAGCACUUAUACAGAAAUCCGACUGACAGAGAAGAUUAGCAUGGUCCUGUCCUAGGAUAAUAUACAAAUUUGUGAAAUGUUAUAUAUAUUU
Sorex fumeus (smoky shrew) is the source of this 106-nucleotide small nuclear RNA. Lineage: Eukaryota; Metazoa; Chordata; Mammalia; Eulipotyphla; Soricidae. The record is from RefSeq and is a predicted model, not a curated record.